RNAcentral lists this ribosomal RNA (253 nucleotides) under uncultured prokaryote. RNAcentral's name for it is "partial 16S ribosomal RNA". It matches the Rfam family "Bacterial small subunit ribosomal RNA", at positions 525 to 777 of the family's 1533-position model. The record is from RNAcentral.
ACGUAGGUGACAAGCGUUAUCCGGAUUUAUUGGGCGUAAAGCGCACGCAGGCGGCGGCACAAGUCUGACGUGAAAUCUCCCAGCUUAACUGGGAGCGGUCGUUGGAAACUGUGUGGCUUGAGGCGUGGAGAGGGGUGUGGAAUUCCCGGUGUAGUGGUGGAAUGCGUAGAGAUCAUGAAGAACACCAGUAGCGAAGGCGGUCAUCUGGCUCGAUACUGACGCUCAGGGACGAAAGCGUGGGGAGCAAACAGGA